This 914-nucleotide ribosomal RNA is filed under the name Sarothrura rufa (red-chested flufftail). RNAcentral's name for it is "partial 16S ribosomal RNA". It matches the Rfam family "Bacterial large subunit ribosomal RNA", at positions 966 to 2521 of the family's 2925-position model. Lineage: Eukaryota; Metazoa; Chordata; Aves; Gruiformes; Rallidae. The record is from RNAcentral.
CACGUACUAAAUUAAAAGCAAUUUAAAGGGGGUACAGCCCCUUUAAAAAAGAAAACAAUCUCUACCAGAGGAUAAGCACCCAUCCCCUAAACUUGUAGGCCUUAAAGCAGCCACCAACCAAGAAUGCGUCAAAGCUCCAGACUAAAAAAAUCCAAAAACCACGCGAUUCCCUCAUUAAUAGCAGGCCAACCUAUAAAACAUAGGAGAAUUAAUGCUAAAAUAAGUAACCAAGGAAAACUCCUCUAAAGCACAAACUUACAUACCACAUUAUUAACAGACUAACUAAUACCCUGCAGGCCCAACAAGACUUAAUAUUCAAAUCAACUGUUAACCCAACUCAGGAGUGCUAGACUAGAAAGAUUUAAACCUAUAAAAGGAACUAGGCAAACGCAUAAGGCCCGACUGUUUACCAAAAACAUAGCCUUCAGCCCAACAAGUAUUGAAGGUGAUGCCUGCCCGGUGACACCAAGUUUAACGGCCGCGGUAUCCUAACCGUGCAAAGGUAGCGCAAUCAAUUGUCUCAUAAAUCGAGACUUGUAUGAACGGCUAAACGAGGUCUUAACUGUCUCUUAUAGGUAAUCAGUGAAAUUGAUCCCCUCGUGCAAAAGCGCGGAUAUACACAUAAGACGAGAAGACCCUGUGGAACUUAAAAAUCACUAGCCACUCAAAACCAACAAUCCAUCUUAGGCCUACCCCGGGCCGCAACUAAACUAAACAGCUGGCCUACAUUUUUCGGUUGGGGCGACCUUGGAGAAAAACAAAUCCUCCAAAAACAAGAUUACACCUCUUAACCAAGAGCAACACCUCAAAGUACUAACAGUAACCAGACCCAGUAUAACUGACCAAUGGACCAAGCUACCCCAGGGAUAACAGCGCAAUCCCCUCCAAGAGCCCAUAUCGACAAGGGGGUUUAC